This 270-nucleotide ribosomal RNA is filed under the name uncultured archaeon. Its description in RNAcentral is "partial 16S ribosomal RNA". It matches the Rfam family "Archaeal small subunit ribosomal RNA", at positions 477 to 747 of the family's 1478-position model. The record is from RNAcentral.
CAGCCCCUCGAGUGGUGGGGAUGAUUAUUUGGCCUAAAGCGUCCGUAGCCGGCCGAGCAAGUCUUCCGUUAAAUCCAGCGUCUCAAGCGUUGGGCUGCGGGAGAUACUACACGGCUAGAGAGUGGGAGAGGUCAGCGGUAUUCUGGGGGUAGGGGCGAAAUCCUUUGAUCCCCGGAGGACCACCAGUGGCGAAGGCUGCUGACUAGAACACGUCUGACGGUCAGGGACGAAAGCUGGGGUAGCGAACCGGAUUAGAUACCCGAGUAGUCC